RNAcentral lists this ribosomal RNA (254 nucleotides) under uncultured bacterium. RNAcentral's name for it is "partial 16S ribosomal RNA". It matches the Rfam family "Bacterial small subunit ribosomal RNA", at positions 524 to 776 of the family's 1533-position model. The record is from RNAcentral.
UACGUAGGCAGCGAGCGUUGUUCGGAGUUACUGGGCGUAAAGGGUGUGUAGGCGGUUCUUUAAGUUUGGUGUGAGAUCUCCCGGCUCAACCGGGAGGGUGCGCCGAAUACUGAGGGACUUCGAGUGCGGGAGAGGAAAGUGGAAUUCCUGGUGUAGCGGUGAAAUGCGUAGAUAUCAGGAGGAACACCGGUGGUGUAGACGGCUUUCUGGACCGUAACUGACGCUGAGACACGAAAGCGUGGGUAGCAAACAGG